This 430-nucleotide ribosomal RNA is filed under the name uncultured bacterium. Its description in RNAcentral is "bacterial SSU rRNA". It matches the Rfam family "Bacterial small subunit ribosomal RNA", at positions 354 to 796 of the family's 1533-position model. The record is from RNAcentral.
GUGGGGAAUCUUGCGCAAUGGGCGAAAGCCUGACGCAGCAACGCCGCGUGAGGGACGAAGGCCUUCGGGUUGUAAACCUCUUUCAGCAGGGAUGAAGCGAAAGUGACAGUACCUGCAGAAGAAGCACCGGCUAACUACGUGCCAGCAGCCGCGGUAAUACGUAGGGUGCAAGCGUUGUCCGGAAUUAUUGGGCGUAAAGAGCUCGUAGGCGGUCUGUCGCGUCGGAUGUGAAAACUCGGAGCUUAACUCCGAGCCUGCAUUCGAUACGGGCAGACUAGAGUUCGGUAGGGGAGACUGGAAUUCCUGGUGUAGCGGUGGAAUGCGCAGAUAUCAGGAGGAACACCGGUGGCGAAGGCGGGUCUCUGGGCCGAUACUGACGCUGAGGAGCGAAAGCGUGGGGAGCGAACAGGAUUAGAAACCCCUGUAGUCC